Molecule: long non-coding RNA, 769 nt
Organism: Tupaia belangeri chinensis (Chinese tree shrew)
Lineage: Eukaryota; Metazoa; Chordata; Mammalia; Scandentia; Tupaiidae
Exons: 2
Source: RefSeq, a predicted model, not a curated record
GAUGGACAGCCAGACAGACCAGAAAUGGGCAGCUCUGACCUCUUGCUGGCAGAUUCCUGGUCUCCCUCGAAAGAAAACAAGGCCUGCACCAGGCUGGCUGUGGGUACCUGCUGGCUUUCCUCGUGUAUCUGGUCUCAGCCUGGAGCAGGGAGGCUGUGCUUCCCCUGGCCUGCUAGGUCUGCUGCUCCACCUCAGAAGGCCACCUGCCUGCCCGCCCCCUCCUGGAUCCUCUUCAUAGAAGCCGGCAGUGCCAAGCUCCAGGAUUUGGGGCUGCACGUGUAUCCCACAUGUUUCUGGAGCACCAGGUCUGGGGCUCAAACUGUACCAUCGGCCAACUUAACCAUCAGGCCACCAGCUGGUGCUGUAAAAACUUCGGAAAAUGAGACAGAACAACUCAGCACUCCUCUUCCUAGGCAGUUACCCAGGAGGUAACUAUGUGCAGACUCAUCACCAGGGCUCAGCCGGCUUCGAGCAAGGUGGCCAGCGCGCUGCAGAGCGGGAGGAGCCGGUGAGCCUCAGAGCUGCCGGAGCAGGUGAAAGAAGCCACGCUCAAAGGCCACGCACUUUGUGGUUCAGUCUGCCAGAACCCUGGGAGAGUCAGCACCAACGUGGGGAGAUCAGCGGGGGCAGGGCCGAGGGGCCUUCCGGGACCACAAAAAUGCCCUGGUUCUCGAGAGCCAUGGGCUGCGCCUUGGUCAGGCCCAUGGGUGGAGACCGGAUGGCAUCACUGCGUGUGGCUCAUACUUCAAUAAAGCUUAAUUUUUACAGA